Molecule: ribosomal RNA, 256 nt
Filed under: uncultured bacterium
Lineage: Bacteria
Description: partial 16S ribosomal RNA
Rfam family: Archaeal small subunit ribosomal RNA
Source: RNAcentral
UAAAACCAGCACCUCGAGUGGUCAGGAGGUUUAUUGGGCCUAAAGCAUCCGUAGCCGGUUGCAUAAGUUUUCGGUUAAAUCUAUGCGCUUAACGUAUAGGCCGCCGAAAAUACUGUGCAGCUAGGGAGUGGGAGAGGUACACGGUACUCGAUAGGAAGGGGUAAAAUCCUUUGAUCUAUUGAUGACCACCUGUGGCGAAGGCGGUGUACCAGAACACGUUCGACGGUGAGGGAUGAAAGCUGGGGGAGCAAACCGG